UAUUGUAGUGGCAAGAUGGAAAUGGAGUUGUUUGUGCUGCAGUUGCCGAGUGAUUUCAGUUGGAGAUAUCAGAAUGGAAUUUGAAAAAUACUGUAAGAUAGUUAUAUGUUCUCUCAUAAACGCUGUUAGAUAUCUGAGAUGGAUAUUAUGUUUGGUCCUGGAAGACUCUUAUAGGUGGAUGUGAGUGGUCAUUACAGAUUUGUUCUGAAAUGUAGCUAAUAUCCACUGUUUGUCGACCGGACCAAAUUUGUUCUCUUCCGUUCUAGUUGGUAAAUUUCAGAAAACACACACUUGACUAGGAUUUAAUGUUUGACUCUGUUUGGUAACUCUUCAUUAAACUUGAGAGUUUGUUUGGUUGUUUACAAUUGUUGAAAUAAUCUGAUUGCAAACAGACAACCAUUUCCUGAGUUAUCAAAACCAUGUUUUAAAAAAAAAAAUCAGUGAUCAACACUGUACAUGAUAACAAUUGGCAGUAUGAGGUGAUGCUUUUGUGUUCUAAACAGCUAUGAAAUGCAGGGUUGUAAAGAAACCUAAAUUCCCAUAGGGUGCAUUAGGUUUCAUUGUUUUUCUUUUAGUUGUUCGAUUCUAGAAACGAAACCUAAAUUCCCGUAGGGUGCUUGUAAAGAGUGCAACCCUGCAUUUCAUAGCUGCUUUGUAAUAACGCCUAUCUUGUAUUGUUUUCUAUAAUGUUCUCGAAGCUGCAAGAUAUCCAAGACUAAAAAGAUUCAAGGAUCCAGGUCGCGAUGUUAAUGGUAAAUGUCAGCUGGGGAUGAAGUCUUCACGAAGAUCAUCGUUGUCGGACAUUGAUGCUGGCUAAAGGAAAAAAUAACGAAUUUUGAGCUUGGGAUCUUGCUCAUGGUAGUCAUUCAUAUUCCCUGGAUUCAUUGCUGUGGAUGUGCACGCUCAUAUUCCCAAGGGUUGGUACCCUAUCCUUUUUAUCACCACCUAUGUGUAUAAAAUGGUUGUGAAAUUCCAGACUUCCAUUAUCACCUAAAGAAAUUUUGGGUUGUGACUGGCGCAUGUGGUGUAUGGCUAUCCGUCUACUUGAGUUACUUGCAUGCCUUGCACUAUCUGAAAUUCAUUUUGUGAUGUGUGCGUAUCUCUUUUCCAAUAACUUUAGCCAUAAUCCAACUUAUUGUACAUUGUAUUUCUCUUAAAGGUUGCUUGCAGGUUUCAUACAGUUUGCCAUUUUUCCAAUUAAUAUGAAAUGGAAGUGUUUUAGGUGGAAAA
Molecule: long non-coding RNA, 1230 nt
Organism: Papaver somniferum (opium poppy)
Lineage: Eukaryota; Viridiplantae; Streptophyta; Magnoliopsida; Ranunculales; Papaveraceae
Exons: 2
Source: RefSeq, a predicted model, not a curated record